GACGAACGCUGGCGGCGUGCUUAACACAUGCAAGUCGAACGGAAAGGCCCUGCUUUUGUGGGGUGCUCGAGUGGCGAACGGGGGAGUAACACGUGAGUAACCUGCCCUUGACUUUGGGAUAAAUUCAGGAAAAUGGGGCUAAUAACGGAUAGGAGCUCCUGCUGCAAGGGGGGGGUUGGAAAAUUUCGGCGGUUGGGGAUGGACUCGCGGCUUAUCAGCUUGUUGGUGGGGUAGUGGCUUACCAAGGUUUUGACGGGUCGCCGGCAUGGGAGGGUGACCGGCCACCUUGGUCCUGAGGUAGGGCCCAGUAUCCUACGGUCCGCAGCAGUCGGAAGUAUUGCGGAACGGCGCGAAGCCUGUUGCGGCAACCCCGCGUUCGUGAUGCCGGCCUUCGGGUUGUAAACCGCUUUCGCCUUUGAUGAAGCGUGCUUGACGGUAACGGGUCAAGAAGCACCGGCUAACUACGUG
Molecule: ribosomal RNA, 468 nt
Filed under: uncultured bacterium
Lineage: Bacteria
Description: partial 16S ribosomal RNA
Rfam family: Bacterial small subunit ribosomal RNA
Source: RNAcentral